Molecule: ribosomal RNA, 395 nt
Filed under: uncultured bacterium
Lineage: Bacteria
Description: bacterial SSU rRNA
Rfam family: Bacterial small subunit ribosomal RNA
Source: RNAcentral
AUUGAACGCUGGCGGCAUGCCUUACACAUGCAAGUCGAACGGUAGCGCGGGGCAACCUGGCGACGAGUGGCGAACGGGUGAGUAAAGCAUCGGAACGUGCCCUGGAAUGGGGGAUAACGUAGCGAAAGUUACGCUAAUACCGCAUAUUCUGUGAGCAGGAAAGCAGGGGAUCGCAAGACCUUGCGUUCUGGGAGCGGCCGAUGUCGGAUUAGCUAGUUGGUGGGGUAAAAGCCUACCAAGGCGACGAUCCGUAGCGGGUCUGAGAGGAUGAUCCGCCACACUGGGACUGAGACACGGCCCAGACUCCUACGGGAGGCAGCAGUGGGGAAUUUUGGACAAUGGGCGGAAGCCUGAUCCAGCCAUGCCGCGUGAGUGAAGAAGGCCUCGGUUGUAAG